Chrysemys picta bellii (western painted turtle) is the source of this 178-nucleotide unclassified non-coding RNA. The record is from Ensembl. Lineage: Eukaryota; Metazoa; Chordata; Testudines; Emydidae.
AUGAAAGCCCUGGAGACUGAGAUAAUCUAGUCACAGAACCAAAACAGCACAGGCAGAGGCAAUUAGAAGCUUCCCUACAUUGCCCUGCUGACAAGCCAUCAACCCUGACCUGGAGGGACCCACUUAUGGUGAUUAGUGGCCUAUUCACUCCAUGCCUUCUUUUCGGAGUUUGACAUUA